Triticum dicoccoides is the source of this 2308-nucleotide long non-coding RNA. RefSeq lists it as uncharacterized. The record is from RefSeq and is a predicted model, not a curated record. NCBI's taxonomy places the organism in Eukaryota, Viridiplantae, Streptophyta, Magnoliopsida, Poales, Poaceae. The transcript has 4 exons.
CCUAAUUUUAAGUGGGUAUCUAUAAAACGCUUAGUUUUUACAAAAACGACCCCGCAUUUGUUUCUAUUCAACCCGCAGUCCUUUUUGGGGCAGAAACGCGUGCGCCGGAGCCAGGGAGCUCGGCUCCGCGCCACGCGCUCGCCCCGACCCCGCCUUCCUCCGCCGCCUCGCCACGCGCUCGCCCCGACCCCGCCUUCCUCCGCCGCCUCGCCACGCCGGCCGGCCUCACCGGAGAUCACCGCCGCCGCGACCAGGUCACGUGGCCGCCCCUGCCUUCUCCUCCUCCCUCACCUUCCUCCCUCCCUCUCACCAUCUCUCUCCCCCUCUCAUUGCAGUGCCACCAUGGCCGCCCCGAGCUUCGCCGGCAGCCGCGCCGCCCGCCUCCGGCCACGACUCCGACGGGAUCCGGCCGCCACUGCCCGGAUCCGCAUCCUCUGCUCCGCCGCGCCCCGGAUCCGGCCACCACCAAGCCUCCCGCGUCGAUCCUCCCGUCCGCCGGCCUCCCCCUGCUCGAUCUGGGUGGACGGGCGAAGUUUCUGACUUGCCGGGGCGGCCAUGGCAGGGAGGCAGCGCUGUGCUCGGGCGCCCGCAUCAGGCGGCGGCAGCGAGGCGGGAGGCAUGAGUGGAGAUGAAGGAGGAAAACAUGAAGAGUCGGCCAGAGCGAGGAGUUCUCUGGCAUCAAAGCCACGGACCACGGCGGCGCAAGCUUGCGAGGGGCGGCAGCCAUGGCGGGGAGGCGGCGCUACGCUCGGGCGUCGCAUUAGGCGGCAGCAGCGAGCGGGAUAGCACACGGAGAGGAAGGAGGAGAAAAUGAAGAGGCGUCCGGGAGCGAGGACCUCACCGGUGUCUAAGUCUCUGCCGGGCGGGACGCGCAGGCGCGCGAGGGGCACGACACUCCUCUCCUGGUGCGUGCGUCCUUGCCGAGUUGGCAAAGUUUUUCUUGGACGGACAGGGACGAUCCCGUUGCUGCCUCGCCGCUGGGAUUGAAGUAAGCCGGCCGACAUACCAAUGCAUCGGGGCUCCAUCGAAAUGUCAGGCGACUCAUAUAAGGGAUUGGGGAGGCAAAAUAUUACACAACUUGGGAAGGUAGAAAUCACGCGAGAGUUGCGCUCUUGGGGAGGGCAAGGAUUGCUGGGCGCUUGAUUUCUGGAAGGGGAUUCGUGAGGGAAUCGCUGAUUUGGAUUUUCGGGAGGCAAACAAGCAGCCUCGAGCAUAUUCCCCAUGCCAGAUGAAGAGGAGGAUGGUGGAGGGAAGGACCAGCGCUGGUGGUGGUCGUAUGGCAAGGGCGAUUGGUGGAGGGAGGAAAAGAGUAGGGCGACUGCUUCCUUCUCUCGCAUCCGCUUUCUCGCCCGUGUCACCGUGCCGUCAGGAGGACUCCGACAGUGACGAUUCCAGCGAAGCAGCAGCGGAAGACGAACACAACAGAGACGCACAAGCAGGAGACCAACAGGCAGUGGCAAGUCUUCUCUAUGCCUUACAAGUUCCACGUGUACUAGCUUUUAGUGCAGGUCAGUCGCCAACAGGGGACAUCGACAAGCAUGUACGUCGCCAGACGCGUCUCUCUCCACCUGCAGGAUGAUUUUCCGUGGCACGGCCUUCCUCAGCCAAAUAAAUCUCUCGCCUUGUCAAGCAAAAGAUUAGUGAUCUCGUGCAAGAUCUAAAUGUUACCAGUGAUGAUGGCUCUACAGAAACGAACAACUGCGAGCACUCAGAUUCUUCAUUUACGAAAUGUUCAACCAAUUCGACCAUGUCAGAUGCAGUUUUGCUUGGAAGGGAGCUGGUAUAUUUGUAAUUGAUGUGUAUGAUGGCAUGUCUUCUGAAUGCAAGCUUCGUCUCAAUAGGAGAUCCUCCAACUUCAGUGUAUUGAAGUUUGACGGAUUGGAGAAUCAGAUGGUAGUCGCUGGAGAUGCAAGGAACUCCCAUGCUUGCAGCGAUGCACUUGGUGGGCAUUCCUUGCAUUUGUCCUGUAGAAUCACGCGGGUACAUGUAUUUAAUUAUAGCAAAGUCACCAUGUCUUUAUCAUGCCAGUAUGCCAAUGCCCAGAAAUUAGAUAACAGAGGGAAGUCACCAGCUCUGAAAGCAUACCAAAUAUUUCAGUUUUUAGGCCACUGCUCAAUUUUGAAGAGCUACUCCUUUGAACUAGAUAUGUGAGCUUUUUGUAAACUACAGGAUAUCAUAGUUUGCUAACUGGAAAAAGAACUCUUUGAUGUUGGGCAUAUCCUGUAGUACUUAAAUCAUUAUUUUUUUACACAUGUGAUGCAAAUCUUAUUCGUUUAGAAAAAUGGUGAAUCUACAGGAUUGGUAUGAA